RNAcentral lists this ribosomal RNA (571 nucleotides) under uncultured Alphaproteobacteria bacterium. Its description in RNAcentral is "bacterial SSU rRNA". It matches the Rfam family "Bacterial small subunit ribosomal RNA", at positions 1 to 547 of the family's 1533-position model. Lineage: Bacteria; Pseudomonadati; Pseudomonadota; Alphaproteobacteria. The record is from RNAcentral.
GGAGCUCUCCCAUAUGGUCGACCUGCAGGCGGCCGCGAAUUCACUAGUGAUUAGAGUUUGAUCAUGGCUCAGGAUGAACGCUAGCGGCAGGCCUAAUACAUGCAAGUCGAGGGGUAGAGUUAGCUUGCUAGCUUGAGACCGGCGCACGGGUGCGUAACGCGUAUGCAACCUACCUUAAUCAGGGGGAUAGCCCGAAGAAAUUCGGAUUAACACCGCAUAAAAUCACAGAAUAGCAUUAUUCAAUGAUCAAAUAUUUAUAGGAUUAAGAUGGGCAUGCGUGUCAUUAGCUAGUUGGCGGGGUAAAGGCGCACCAAGGCGACGAUCCUUAGCUGGUCUGAGAGGAUGAUCAGCCACACUGGGACUGAGACACGGCCCAGACUCCUACGGGAGGCAGCAGUGGGGAAUAUUGGACAAUGGGCGCAAGCCUGAUCCAGCCAUGCCGCGUGAGUGAUGAAGGCCUUAGGGUUGUAAAGCUCUUUCGGCGGGGACGAUAAUGACGGUACCCGCAGAAGAAGCCCCGGCUAACUUCGUGCCAGCAGCCGCGGUAAUACGAAUCGAAUUCCCGCGGCCG